Molecule: long non-coding RNA, 737 nt
Organism: Gasterosteus aculeatus aculeatus (three-spined stickleback)
Lineage: Eukaryota; Metazoa; Chordata; Actinopteri; Perciformes; Gasterosteidae
Source: Ensembl
GCAGACUGCGAGUGAAAACCAGGGCAUGCUCUCGCACCACUGAUGCGGCACAAGCAGCGGAAACGGAUCAAGGGGGAGAAAGCUGAGGGUGAAUGGGACUCGGAGACGGACGUCUGCACCUGCUGUCUUCUUCCCAUGUUCAUUCUGCCCCUGCUAGUGGACUAUUGAAAAGACAGUCCUAACAAAGACUAGGAGACUGUGAAGACACAAGGAUCUCUUCCCAUCAGGGUUAACCUGAAGCCACCCUGGUAAUCACUCAAUCUUUAAACCAUUCAGGCAAAUUGUCAAUACUGUAUGUUCAGUGUGAUAAACGCAAACUUUGCGUCAUUGCUGUCCAGAUGUAAGUGCAACAAAAGUGCUUCGCUGCUGCGUACAACCCGGGGGAUUAGCGACCGGAAUAUUCAGCAACUGGCUGCAAAGAUCAACUGGAGUGCCAGGACUGAAAGGAAAGGGAACAAACACAAUGGGGGGAGCCCCCCUACCUCAGCCUCUCUUUUAUGCCUCUCCAUCCAGGACCCAUGGGCUCUCUGCCAACUUGGAAUCUUAAGAACUCAUUCAGCAAAAAAAAAGCCAAAGAAAGGGACUUGUUUAAACCCAGGACCCAUUCGCUCACAGUCUCUUGUUUUUCCUUUACAUUUCUCACAUGAAGAGGGAUUUCUGGCUACUGUUUUCUCUGACAUCUCAUCUGAGGGGGGUGUGGAGCUGGGCGGAAGGGUUCGUGGUGGGGGGGGGGGGGG